GGUGGCUGUAGUGUGUGAAUAGGGUCUGGGGUGGCUGUAGUGUGUGAAUAGGGUCUGGGGUGGCUGUAGUGUGUGAAUAGGGUCUGGGGUGGGUGUAGUGUGUGAAUAGGGUCUGGGGUGGCUGUAGUGUGUGAAUAGGGUCUGGGGUGGCUGUAGUGUAUUAGUAGUGUGUGAAUAGGGUCUGGGGUGGCUGUAGUAUAUUAGUAGUAUAUUAGUAGUGUGUGAAUAGGGUCUGGGGUGGGUGUAGUUAUAUUGUAGUAUAUUAGUAGUGUGUGAAUAGGGUCUGGGGUGGCUGUAGUAUAUUAGUAGUGUGUGAAUAGGGUCUGGGGUGGCUGUAGUAUAUUAGUAGUAUAUUAGUAGUGUGUGAAUAGGGUCUGGGGUGGCUGUAGAAUAUUAGUAGUAUAUUAGUAGUAUGUGAAUAGGGUCUGGGGUGGCUGUAGUAUAUUAGUAGUAUAUUAGUAGUGUGUGAAUAGGGUCUGGGGUGGCUGUAGUGUAUUAGUAGUGUGUGAAUAGGGUCUGGGGUGGCUGUAGAAUAUUAGUAGUAUAUUAGUAGUGUGUGAAUAGGGUCUGGGGUGGCUGUAGUAUAUUGGUAGUAUAUUAGUAGUGUGUGAAUAGGGUCUGGGGUGGCUGUAGUAUAUUAGUAGUAUAUUAGCAGUGUGUGAAUAGGGUCUGGGGUGGCUGUAGUAUAUUAGUAGUAUAUUAGUAGUGUGUGAAUAGGGGCUUGGGUGGCUGUAAUAUAUUAGUAGUGUGUGAAUAGGGUCUGGGGUGGCUGUAGUAUAUUAGUAGUAUAUUAGCAGUGUGUGAAUAGGGUCUGGGGUGGCUGUAGUAUAUUAGUAGUAUAUUAGCAGUGUGUGAAUAGGGUCUGGGGUGGCUGUAGUAUAUUAGUAGUAUAUUAGUAGUGUGUGAAUAGGGUCUGGGGUGGCUGUAGUAUAUUAGUAGUGUGUGAAUAGGGUCUGGGGUGGCUGUAGUAUAUUAGUAGUAUAUUAGUAGUGUGUGAAUAGGGUCUGGGGUGGAUGUAGUAUAUUAGUAGUAUAUUAGUAGUGUGUGAAUAGGGUCUGGGGUGGCUGUAGUGUAUUAGUAGUGUGUGAAUAGGGUCUGGGGUGGCUGUAGUGUAUUAGUAGUGUGUGAAUAGGGUCUGGGGUGGCUGUAGUAUAUUAGUAGUAUAUUAGUAGUGUGUGAAUAGGGUCUGGGGUGGCUGUAGUAUAUUAGUAGUAUAUUAGUAGUGUGUGAAUAGGGUCUGGGGUGGCUGUAGUAUAUUAGUAGUGUGUGAAUAGGGUCUGGGGUGGCUGUAGUAUAUUAGUAGUAUAUUAGUAGUGUGUGAAUAGGGUCUGGGGUGGAUGUAGUAUAUUAGUAGUAUAUUAGUAGUGUGUGAAUAGGGUCUGGGGUGGCUGUAGUGUAUUAGUAGUGUGUGAAUAGGGUCUGGGGUGGCUGUAGUGUAUUAGUAGUGUGUGAAUAGGGUCUGGGGUGGCUGUAGUAUAUUAGUAGUAUAUCAGUAGUGUGUGAAUAGGGUCUGGG
Oncorhynchus tshawytscha (Chinook salmon) is the source of this 1515-nucleotide long non-coding RNA. NCBI's taxonomy places the organism in Eukaryota, Metazoa, Chordata, Actinopteri, Salmoniformes, Salmonidae. The record is from Ensembl.